GUCCCUUCGGGGACAUCCGAUAAAAUUGGAACGAUACAGAGAAGAUUAGUAUGACCCCUGCGCAAGGAUGACACGCAUAUGAACGAUAAUAAGUGUAGUAAA
This is a small nuclear RNA of Salvia splendens (bonfire salvia), 102 nucleotides long. NCBI's taxonomy places the organism in Eukaryota, Viridiplantae, Streptophyta, Magnoliopsida, Lamiales, Lamiaceae. The record is from RefSeq and is a predicted model, not a curated record.